This 300-nucleotide ribosomal RNA is filed under the name uncultured Halorussus sp. RNAcentral's name for it is "bacterial SSU rRNA". The stretch from base 55 to 300 matches the Rfam family "Bacterial small subunit ribosomal RNA", at positions 550 to 795 of the family's 1533-position model. The record is from RNAcentral. Lineage: Archaea; Methanobacteriati; Methanobacteriota; Halobacteria; Halobacteriales; Haladaptataceae.
GGUACAGAGUGGCGAGGGUGGUGUGUAGUACGGAGGGGUGUGGGGUUGUCUGUGUUUAGUGUGAGUAAAGGGCGGGUAGGCGGCCAGGGAGGUCCGUUGUGGAAACGCGAGGCGCAACCUCGAGACGUCGGUGGAAACCCGCUGGCUAGAGUCCGGAAGAGGAGAGUGGAAUUCCUGGUGUAGCGGUGAAAUGCGCAGAUAUCAGGAAGAACACCCGUGGCGAAGGCGGAUCUCUGGGACGGUACUGACGCUGAGACGCGAAAGCGUGGGGAGCAAACAGGAUUAGAUACCCGGGUAGUC